Molecule: unclassified non-coding RNA, 26 nt
Filed under: Mus musculus (house mouse)
Lineage: Eukaryota; Metazoa; Chordata; Mammalia; Rodentia; Muridae
Description: oocyte_clustered_small_RNA46
Source: RNAcentral
CAGAUUUCCUUAGUUCUCCUUCUGAA